RNAcentral lists this ribosomal RNA (253 nucleotides) under uncultured bacterium. Its description in RNAcentral is "partial 16S ribosomal RNA". It matches the Rfam family "Bacterial small subunit ribosomal RNA", at positions 524 to 776 of the family's 1533-position model. The record is from RNAcentral.
UACGGAGGGUGCAAGCGUUAAUCGGAUUUAUUGGGCGUAAAGAGCACGUAGGCGGAAUGGAAAGUUAGUUGUGAAAACCUGGGGCUCAACCCCGGGGCCGCAUCUAAAACUCCCAUUCUAGAGGAUGGACGGAGAAAAGGGAAUUCCACGUGUAGCGGUGAAAUGCGUAGAUAUGUGGAAGAACACCAGUGGCGAAGGCGCUUUUCUAGUUUAUACCUGACGCUGAGGUGCGAAAGCAAGGGGAGCAAACAGG